Molecule: ribosomal RNA, 2606 nt
Filed under: Klebsiella pneumoniae
Lineage: Bacteria; Pseudomonadati; Pseudomonadota; Gammaproteobacteria; Enterobacterales; Enterobacteriaceae
Description: bacterial LSU rRNA
Rfam family: Bacterial large subunit ribosomal RNA
Source: RNAcentral
GGAACGGUCUGGAAAGUCCGACGGUACAGGGUGAUAGUCCCGUACACCAAAAUGCACAGGUUGUGAACUCGAAGAGUAGGGCGGGACACGUGGUAUCCUGUCUGAAUAUGGGGGGACCAUCCUCCAAGGCUAAAUACUCCUGACUGACCGAUAGUGAACCAGUACCGUGAGGGAAAGGCGAAAAGAACCCCGGCGAGGGGAGUGAAAAAGAACCUGAAACCGUGUACGUACAAGCAGUGGGAGCACCUUCGGGUGUGACUGCGUACCUUUUGUAUAAUGGGUCAGCGACUUAUAUUCUGUAGCAAGGUUAACCGUAUAGGGGAGCCGCAGGGAAACCGAGUCUUAACUGGGCGUUAAGUUGCAGGGUAUAGACCCGAAACCCGGUGAUCUAGCCAUGGGCAGGUUGAAGGUUGGGUAACACUAACUGGAGGACCGAACCGACUAAUGUUGAAAAAUUAGCGGAUGACUUGUGGCUGGGGGUGAAAGGCCAAUCAAACCGGGAGAUAGCUGGUUCUCCCCGAAAGCUAUUUAGGUAGCGCCUCGUGAACUCAUCUUCGGGGGUAGAGCACUGUUUCGGCUAGGGGGUCAUCCCGACUUACCAACCCGAUGCAAACUACGAAUACCGAAGAAUGUUAUCACGGGAGACACACGGCGGGUGCUAACGUCCGUCGUGAAGAGGGAAACAACCCAGACCGCCAGCUAAGGUCCCAAAGUCAUGGUUAAGUGGGAAACGAUGUGGGAAGGCACAGACAGCCAGGAUGUUGGCUUAGAAGCAGCCAUCAUUUAAAGAAAGCGUAAUAGCUCACUGGUCGAGUCGGCCUGCGCGGAAGAUGUAACGGGGCUAAACCAUGCACCGAAGCUGCGGCAGCGACACUAUGUGUUGUUGGGUAGGGGAGCGUUCUGUAAGCCUGCGAAGGUGUGCUGUGAGGCAUGCUGGAGGUAUCAGAAGUGCGAAUGCUGACAUAAGUAACGAUAAAGCGGGUGAAAAGCCCGCUCGCCGGAAGACCAAGGGUUCCUGUCCAACGUUAAUCGGGGCAGGGUGAGUCGACCCCUAAGGCGAGGCCGAAAGGCGUAGUCGAUGGGAAACAGGUUAAUAUUCCUGUACUUGGUGUUACUGCGAAGGGGGGACGGAGAAGGCUAUGUUAGCCGGGCGACGGUUGUCCCGGUUUAAGCAUGUAGGCUGAUUGUCCAGGCAAAUCCGGAUAAUCAAGGCUGAGGUGUGAUGACGAGGCACUACGGUGCUGAAGUAACAAAUGCCCUGCUUCCAGGAAAAGCCUCUAAGCAUCAGGUAACAUUAAAUCGUACCCCAAACCGACACAGGUGGUCAGGUAGAGAAUACCAAGGCGCUUGAGAGAACUCGGGUGAAGGAACUAGGCAAAAUGGUGCCGUAACUUCGGGAGAAGGCACGCUGGUGUGUAGGUGAAGUCCCUGCGGAUGGAGCUGAGACCAGUCGAAGAUACCAGCUGGCUGCAACUGUUUAUUAAAAACACAGCACUGUGCAAACACGAAAGUGGACGUAUACGGUGUGACGCCUGCCCGGUGCCGGAAGGUUAAUUGAUGGGGUUAUCCGUAAGGAGAAGCUCUUGAUCGAAGCCCCGGUAAACGGCGGCCGUAACUAUAACGGUCCUAAGGUAGCGAAAUUCCUUGUCGGGUAAGUUCCGACCUGCACGAAUGGCGUAAUGAUGGCCAGGCUGUCUCCACCCGAGACUCAGUGAAAUUGAACUCGCUGUGAAGAUGCAGUGUACCCGCGGCAAGACGGAAAGACCCCGUGAACCUUUACUAUAGCUUGACACUGAACAUUGAGCCUUGAUGUGUAGGAUAGGUGGGAGGCUUUGAAGCGUGGACGCCAGUCUGCGUGGAGCCAACCUUGAAAUACCACCCUUUAAUGUUUGAUGUUCUAACGUUGGCCCCUGACCGGGGUUGCGGACAGUGUCUGGUGGGUAGUUUGACUGGGGCGGUCUCCUCCCAAAGCGUAACGGAGGAGCACGAAGGUUAGCUAAUCCUGGUCGGACAUCAGGAGGUUAGUGCAAUGGCAUAAGCUAGCUUGACUGCGAGCGUGACGGCGCGAGCAGGUGCGAAAGCAGGUCAUAGUGAUCCGGUGGUUCUGAAUGGAAGGGCCAUCGCUCAACGGAUAAAAGGUACUCCGGGGAUAACAGGCUGAUACCGCCCAAGAGUUCAUAUCGACGGCGGUGUUUGGCACCUCGAUGUCGGCUCAUCACAUCCUGGGGCUGAAGUAGGUCCCAAGGGUAUGGCUGUUCGCCAUUUAAAGUGGUACGCGAGCUGGGUUUAGAACGUCGUGAGACAGUUCGGUCCCUAUCUGCCGUGGGCGCUGGAGAAUUGAGGGGGGCUGCUCCUAGUACGAGAGGACCGGAGUGGACGCAUCACUGGUGUUCGGGUUGUCAUGCCAAUGGCACUGCCCGGUAGCUAAAUGCGGAAGAGAUAAGUGCUGAAAGCAUCUAAGCACGAAACUUGCCCCGAGAUGAGUUCUCCCUGAGACUUUAAGUCUCCUGAAGGAACGUUGAAGACGACGACGUUGAUAGGCCGGGUGUGUAAGCGCAGCGAUGCGUUGAGCUAACCGGUACUAAUGAACCGUGAGGCUUAACCUU